Molecule: transfer RNA, 49 nt
Filed under: Bifrenaria harrisoniae
Lineage: Eukaryota; Viridiplantae; Streptophyta; Magnoliopsida; Asparagales; Orchidaceae
Also listed under: 117 other names
Description: partial tRNA-Leu
Source: RNAcentral
AAAUCCGUCGAAUUUUUAAAUCGUGAGGGUUCAAGUCCCUCUAUCCCCA